CUACGUGCCAGCAGCCGCGGUAAUACGGAAGGUCCGGGCGUUAUCCGGAUUUAUUGGGUUUAAAGGGAGCGUAGGCUGGAGAUUAAGUGUGUUGUGAAAUGUAGACGCUCAACGUCUGACUUGCAGCGCAUACUGGUUUCCUUGAGUACGCACAACGUUGGCGGAAUUCGUCGUGUAGCGGUGAAAUGCUUAGAUAUGACGAAGAGCUCCGAUUGCGAAGGCAGCUGACGGGAGCGCAACUGACGCUGAAGCUCGAAGGUGCGGGUAUCGAACAGGAUUAGAUACCCUGGUAGUCCGCACAGUAAACGAUGGAUGCCCGCUGUUGGUACUUGGUAUCAGCGGCUAAGCGAAAGCAUUAAGCAUCCCACCUGGGGAGUACGCCGGCAACGGUGGAACUCAAAGGAAUUGACGGGGGCCCGCACAAGCGGAGGAACAUGUGGUUUAAUUCGAUGAUACGCGAGGAACCUUACCCGGGCU
RNAcentral lists this ribosomal RNA (477 nucleotides) under uncultured bacterium. RNAcentral's name for it is "bacterial SSU rRNA". It matches the Rfam family "Bacterial small subunit ribosomal RNA", at positions 501 to 981 of the family's 1533-position model. The record is from RNAcentral.